GCCUGGCACGGUGGCGCAUGCCUGUAACCCCAGUGGCUUGGGAGGCUGAGACAGGAGAAUCGCGAGUUCAAAGCCAGCCUCAACAAUUGCGAGAUGCUAAGCAACUCAGUGAGACCUUGUCUCUA
This 125-nucleotide small RNA is filed under the name Marmota monax (woodchuck). The record is from RNAcentral. Lineage: Eukaryota; Metazoa; Chordata; Mammalia; Rodentia; Sciuridae.